RNAcentral lists this ribosomal RNA (567 nucleotides) under uncultured Russula. RNAcentral describes it as "eukaryotic LSU rRNA". The stretch from base 214 to 367 matches the Rfam family "5.8S ribosomal RNA". Lineage: Eukaryota; Fungi; Basidiomycota; Agaricomycetes; Russulales; Russulaceae. The record is from RNAcentral.
GUACAAUGGAGGUGCUGGGGUUGUCCGCUGACUUUUGAAACGGUCGUGCACGCCUCGGUACUCUCACAUACAAUCCAUCUCACCCCUCUUGUGCAUCACCGCGUGGAGGCCCCUUUUGGCUAGUUCUAAAGGGGGUUUUCGCGUUUUUAUACAUACACCGUUUUAAUGCAAUGCGUAGAAUGUCAUACUUUUGCGAUCACACGCAAUUAAUACAACUUUCAACAACGGAUCUCUUGGCUCUCGCAUCGAUGAAGAACGCAGCGAAAUGCGAUACGUAAUGUGAAUUGCAGAAUUCAGUGAAUCAUCGAAUCUUUGAACGCACCUUGCGCCCUUUGGUAUUCCGAAGGGCACACCCGUUUGAGUGUCGUGACAUCCUCAAACCUUCUUGGUUUCUUGACCAGGAAGGCUUUGGACUCUGGAGGUUUUUGCUGGCCUUACUUUGUUGAAGCCAGCUCCUCUAAAAUGGAUUAGUGGGAUCUGCUUUGCGGAUACUUGACGGUGAUAAGAUAUUUCUACGUCUUGGAUCUCGCACUGUUCGCUCUGGAUCCUGCUUCUAACCGUCUCAUA